AAAAAGGCAAACCCUGGGUUUCUGUGUCCAACUUUGACUGUCCGUCUUAUAUGAAAUUUUUUUGUAAUUCAUAUUUUCAUUGUUGUUAGAUGAUAAAACAUGAUUAAUAUUUUAUGCGUGACUUGUCUUUUAAUUUUUUCAUAAUUAUUUGAAAUAAGACAGACGGUCAAACGUUGGGCACGGAAACCAGGGUUUGUCUUUUU
RNAcentral lists this microRNA precursor (203 nucleotides) under Oryza sativa Indica Group (long-grained rice). RNAcentral describes it as "MIR812 microRNA precursor family". It matches the Rfam family "MIR812 microRNA precursor family". Lineage: Eukaryota; Viridiplantae; Streptophyta; Magnoliopsida; Poales; Poaceae. The record is from Rfam by way of RNAcentral.